CCCUUAGAUGUCCUGGGCCGCACGCGCGUUACACUGAUGCAUUCAACGAGCUUAUAACCUUGGCCGAGAGGCCUGGGCAAUCUUGUUAACGUGCAUCGUGAUGGGGAUAGAUUAUUGAAAUUAUUAAUCUUGAACGAGGGAUUCCUAGUAAACGCAGAUCAUCAAUCUGCAUUGAUUACGUCCCUGCCCUUUGUACACACCGCCCGUCGCACCUACCGAUUGGAUGGUCCGGUGAAGCCUCGGGAUUGUGGUUCUUGCCGCUUUAUUGUGGCGUGACCGCGAGAACUUGUCUAAACCUUAUCAUCUAGAGGAAGGUGAAGUCGUAACA
This 328-nucleotide ribosomal RNA is filed under the name uncultured eukaryote. RNAcentral describes it as "partial 18S ribosomal RNA". It matches the Rfam family "Eukaryotic small subunit ribosomal RNA", at positions 1470 to 1796 of the family's 1831-position model. The record is from RNAcentral.